This 245-nucleotide ribosomal RNA is filed under the name uncultured bacterium. Its description in RNAcentral is "partial 16S ribosomal RNA". It matches the Rfam family "Bacterial small subunit ribosomal RNA", at positions 109 to 354 of the family's 1533-position model. The record is from RNAcentral.
AGUAACGCGCGGAUAACCUGCCUUACACUGGGGGAUAACACUUAGAAAUAGGUGCUAAUACCGCAUAAGCGCACAGAGCCGCAUGGCUCAGUGUGAAAAACUCCGGUGGUGUAAGAUGGAUCCGCGUCUGAUUAGCUGGUUGGCGGGGUAGAAGCCCACCAAGGCGACGAUCAGUAGCCGGCCUGAGAGGGUGAACGGCCACAUUGGGACUGAGACACGGCCCAAACUCCUACGGGAGGCAGCAG